GUGGCUGAGGAAGGGCUCGAGCAGUAUCUUCGUCCUUGGGACAUAUGCCGGCGGUAGAUGCACCGGUACCGUCAGCAACAGAAGUGGAGUCUCAUGAUCGUGGUGCCGGGUAUGACGCCCUAUCCUAGGCAAUGUUUCGUGUUCUGGAAAGGGUUUCCGGGGCAAGUAUGGGCAACGGCGUUCGGGGAUCCAUUUCUGAACAACUCCAGGC
Molecule: long non-coding RNA, 211 nt
Filed under: Gossypium barbadense (sea-island cotton)
Lineage: Eukaryota; Viridiplantae; Streptophyta; Magnoliopsida; Malvales; Malvaceae
Description: long non-coding RNA (GBAR_LNC003030)
Source: RNAcentral